Molecule: non-coding RNA, 27 nt
Filed under: Cricetulus griseus (Chinese hamster)
Lineage: Eukaryota; Metazoa; Chordata; Mammalia; Rodentia; Cricetidae
Source: RNAcentral
UUGUUUAGAAUCAGAAUAAAGUUGUAU